AGCUUGCUCUUCGGAUUAGUGGCGAACGGGUGAGUAACACGUGAGCAAUCUGCCCUUGACUCUGGGAUAAGCGUUGGAAACGACGUCUAAUACCGGAUACGACCUUGGAAGGCAUCUUCCUUGGUGGAAAGAAUUUUGGUCAGGGAUGAGCUCGCGGCCUAUCAGCUAGUUGGUGAGGUAAUGGCUCACCAAGGCGACGACGGGUAGCCGGCCUGAGAGGGUGACCGGCCACACUGGGACUGAGACACGGCCCAGACUCCUACGGGAGGCAGCAGUGGGGAAUAUUGCACAAUGGGCGAAAGCCUGAUGCAGCAACGCCGCGUGAGGGACGACGGCCUUCGGGUUGUAAACCUCUUUUAGUAGGGAAGAAGCGAAAGUGACGGUACCUGCAGAAAAAGCACCGGCUAACUACGUGCCAGCAGCCGCGGUAAUACGUAGGGUGCAAGCGUUGUCCGGAAUUAUUGGGCGUAAAGAGCUCGUAGGCGGUUUGUCGCGUCUGCUGUGAAAACCCGAGGCUCAACCUCGGGCCUGCAGUGGGUACGGGCAGACUAGAGUGCGGUAGGGGAGAUUGGAAUUCCUGGUGUAGCGGUGGAAUGCGCAGAUAUCA
Molecule: ribosomal RNA, 607 nt
Filed under: Cryobacterium sp.
Lineage: Bacteria; Bacillati; Actinomycetota; Actinomycetes; Micrococcales; Microbacteriaceae
Description: bacterial SSU rRNA
Rfam family: Bacterial small subunit ribosomal RNA
Source: RNAcentral